RNAcentral lists this ribosomal RNA (253 nucleotides) under uncultured bacterium. Its description in RNAcentral is "partial 16S ribosomal RNA". It matches the Rfam family "Bacterial small subunit ribosomal RNA", at positions 524 to 776 of the family's 1533-position model. The record is from RNAcentral.
UACGUAGGGUGCGAGCGUUGUCCGGAAUUAUUGGGCGUAAAGAGCUCGUAGGCGGUUUGUCGCGUCGGCCGUGAAAUCUCCACGCUUAACGUGGAGCGUGCGGUCGAUACGGGCAGACUUGAGUUCGGUAGGGGAGACUGGAAUUCCUGGUGUAGCGGUGAAAUGCGCAGAUAUCAGGAGGAACACCGGUGGCGAAGGCGGGUCUCUGGGCAGUAACUGACGCUGAGGAGCGAAAGCGUGGGGAGCGAACAGG